RNAcentral lists this ribosomal RNA (777 nucleotides) under uncultured Planctomycetaceae bacterium. RNAcentral describes it as "bacterial SSU rRNA". It matches the Rfam family "Bacterial small subunit ribosomal RNA", at positions 8 to 796 of the family's 1533-position model. Lineage: Bacteria; Pseudomonadati; Planctomycetota; Planctomycetia; Planctomycetales; Planctomycetaceae. The record is from RNAcentral.
AGAGUUUGAUCCUGGCUCAGGACGAACGCUGACGGUGUGCUUUAGGCAUGCAAGUCGAACGAGAAAGCCCUUCGGGGUGAGUAAAGUGGCGAACGGGUGAGUAACACGUGGGCAACCUGCCCCUCGCAGGGGGACAACCGGAGGAAACUCCGGCUAAUACCCCGUACGCUCUCAGGGUCGCAUGGCCCUGUGAGGAAAGGUAGCUUCGGCCAUCCGGCGAGGGAUGGGCCCGCGGUGCAUUAGCUAGUUGGCGGGGUAACGGCCCACCAAGGCGACGACGCGUAACCGGACUGAGAGGUCGGCCGGUCACAUCGGGACUGAGACACUGCCCGGACUCCUACGGGGGGCUGCAGUAACGAAUCUUCCCCAAUGCACGAAAGUGUGAGGGAGCGACGCCGCGUGGAGGACCAAGUCCUUCGGGAUGUAAACUCCUGUCAGGGGUUACCAAGUUCUGAGGAGCCCCAGAGGAAGUGGCGGCUAACUCUGUGCCAGCAGCCGCGGUAAGACAGAGGCCACGAGCGUUAGGCGGAAUCACUGGGCUUAAAGCGUGUGUAGGCGGACCCGUAAGUGUCUUGUGAAAUCCCACGGCUCAACCGUGGAACUGCUGGGCAUACUGCGGGUCUUGAGCCGGCCAGGGGUCACCGGAACAAGCGGUGGAGCGGUGAAAUGCGUAGAUAUCGCUUGGAACGCCGACGGUGAAAACAGGUGACUGGGGCCGCGCUGACGCUGAGACACGAAAGCCAGGGGAGCGAACGGGAUUAGAUACCCCGGUAGUCC